This 72-nucleotide transfer RNA is filed under the name Bos taurus (domestic cattle). It matches the Rfam family "tRNA". Rfam says of the family: Transfer RNA (tRNA) molecules are approximately 80 nucleotides in length. Their secondary structure includes four short double-helical elements and three loops (D, anti-codon, and T loops). The record is from Rfam by way of RNAcentral. Lineage: Eukaryota; Metazoa; Chordata; Mammalia; Artiodactyla; Bovidae. RNAcentral also lists the same sequence under 2 other names.
UCCCUGGUGGCUCAAAUGGUAAAGAAUCUACCUGCAAUGCAGGAGACCCAGGUUCGAUCCCUGGGUGGGGAA